GACGAACGCUGGCGGCGUGCUUAACACAUGCAAGUCGAACGGAAAGGCCCUGCUUUUGUGGGGUGCUCGAGUGGCGAACGGGUGAGUAACACGUGAGUAACCUGCCCUUGACUUUGUGAUAACUUCAGGAAACUGGGGCUAAUACCUGAUAGGAUCUCCUGCUGCAUGGUGGGGGUUGGAAAGUUUCGGCGGUUGGGGAUGGACUCGCGGCUUAUCAGCUUGUUGGUGGGGUAGUGGCUUACCAAGGGUUUGACGGGUAGCCGGCCUGAGAGGGUGACCGGGCAAAUGGGGACUGAGAUACGGACCAGACUGCUACGGGAGGCAGCAGUGGGGAAUAUUGCAAAAUGGGAGGAAGACUGAUGCAGAAACGCCGCGUGCGGGAUGACGGCCUUCGGGUUGUAAAACGAUUUAGCAUGUGACGAAGCGUGAGUGACGGUAAUGGGUAAAGAAGCACCGGCUAACUACGUG
RNAcentral lists this ribosomal RNA (468 nucleotides) under uncultured bacterium. Its description in RNAcentral is "partial 16S ribosomal RNA". It matches the Rfam family "Bacterial small subunit ribosomal RNA", at positions 28 to 507 of the family's 1533-position model. The record is from RNAcentral.